Long non-coding RNA from Triticum dicoccoides, 3264 nucleotides. RefSeq lists it as uncharacterized. The record is from RefSeq and is a predicted model, not a curated record. The transcript is spliced from 2 exons. NCBI's taxonomy places the organism in Eukaryota, Viridiplantae, Streptophyta, Magnoliopsida, Poales, Poaceae.
AAAAAAUUCACGAUCACAUAACUUUGUUAUAAUUUGUUACAUAAUUUUUAAAAAACAAUAACUAAACAACAUUAUGUACUACGCCCUAUGUAAACUAAACUGAAAAAAUGUCUUAUAUUAACGUACAGAGGUAAUAUUUAUCAAGGAGAUCCUCCUCCGUCUUCAUGUAUUUUUAGAGGGAUAAUAAAAUAUUGGAUUGUUUUUAGAGAGAUAAAAAUAAUUAUUGAGCCUCGAUUGAAAAAAUGACAAAUAUAUUCAUGUAUUAAAAUUUAGAAAACAUAAAUCCAAUGAAAAAGGUGAUUUUUUUAAAAAAAAUAAACAUGCUAAUAUCACUCAACUUAGUCUAAGUCAACUGAAAUAUAACAACACCUUUACAAAUACUUUAAUUUUGGAUAUGAUUCAUGGAUGAUUCAUUUGUUGCCUACCUAGGCAGCUAGCUUGGUUUCUGCUUCAAGAACGCUAAUUAGCAGGUAAAGAAACUCAGCCGAGCGCUAGGCAUCGGGCAUCAGACGAACGGCCGGGCUGGAUUGAUCGGACUUUUGGUAAUUUUCUAGCCCAUAUCAAUAGACAGGGAGACGGUUCCCUCAGUUAGGCCCCUCACACCGUCACCUACCUACCCACCCACCGCUUCACCUCAAAAAAAAAUAAAAAAUCCCACCGGCCCUCACAUUUCUCCCCGUCGUUCCCCAUUCUUCCUUGGUCAUCGCCAGCUCCCUCUCCCCGCCUCCUCGGGCCACCCCUGCUCUUCCCCGCCUUUUCGUCGAAUCCGGUCGCCCAAGUGGCCGAGGAGGUCCCCAAGCUCGGCAUGCACGGGAGCAUCCCAGCGCUAGGCUCCGUUGGAGGUGCGAGACUUCCACGCCCCUGUUCUUCCCCGUCCUUCUUCGAAUCCGCUGGCCGAAGUGCCGAAGGAUGCGCUCGAUCUCAGCAUGCUCGCGGGCGACCCAGCGCGGAUGCCCGCAACAAGACAACAAGGAGCGGGCGUGGAUGCGCAAAAAUAUAUGGGCACAGUUCGAUGCCUCCACUGGCGUGCCUCUGUUUGAUGUGCUAUUCAAGAUCCCUGUACAAUUAUGUUAAUCAAGAUACAAUGGCACUCGAUGAUGAUUGCUAAGAAGGUCUGCAAUAUGCACUGGACUGUUGCUUGCCAGAUGACUGGAAGAUGGGUACUUCAUCCUCUCUUGUUUGUUCAUUCGAAGCAAGAUUAAUAAGAUUCAUGCAUUGUAAUGAAAACUGCAGAUUGAGCUAAACUCAACUGAUGGUGUAAUAUCUUUUCUAUGAGCAGCGGUAAUGGUAUCUUCUGUAGGAGUAAUAAGGCGUUGCUGCAUAAAUAUACUUGACUUUCAAAUGAGCGUGUCAAGAGGUUUAGUUUGUGUCGAUCCCUACUCUAAUUAUAUCUGGAUAUCUGGUUCCUGUACUAUUUGAAAUUUAACAAUCAGAUGUACAGAAUAACAGAAAUUUGCUAGAUAAGCUAACGUUACAAGGGGAAGUAAACAUUAAACAUUUCACAUAGUGAUUUGGAAUAUCUAAUAUUUCAUCAUCGUGUGUUUCCUAUUGUAGAUAAAUUUGCUUGCAGGGCUCUUGAUGAUAUAUCCACUUUCAUCAAAUGCUUAAGGGUAUGGUCAGUUGGAGAAGACAUUACUAUGACUACAAAGAUAUGUUUUUUCAGGUGAUGAAUUGUAACCUUAUAUUCUUUAUUACUUAGAAUUGAAAAUAGCAAUCCGUAAUUACUUCGGGGAGAAUCUUUUACUCUUUUCUGUCUUGCUCUUGUUCAGCAUAGGAUGUAUAUCAUUAUCACUAUCAUGGUGUAUUGUUGCCAUUGAGGAAUCUUCCCAUGUAGCAAAUUUACCUAGAAAAUACAAAACUUUGGCAUAUCACCAUCAGGUGCAGACGUACUCUUUCUCCCAAAUACUACAGCAGUAUCCCUACAAUCAGAUGUACAAAAAUUUGCUUGCUGAAAAACUAAUCAAUAAUCCAUGAAAUUUAACUGGAUUAAUUAAGGAUCAAGCCACUCACCUUGUGGCUACAAUCGACCAGAUUCAUCUCUCCAUGUUCCUGCAUGUGAAGAAUUGAUCAGUGCCCCAAGUCAAAACUACUGCAUACCUUAUACAUGAAGCCCUUACUCAAAAUUCAGAAAAUAUGCAGAAUAUCCAUUUUUAUUGACAUAGUUAUCUGCAGUCCUAGACAAAAUGUGACCAUAAUCCACACUACUACACAUGAAUUACUAUAUAGCUACCUUAUGGGGGCCUAUAUGCCUGAUCUUCAUAUCUUCUUGUUUGGCAAAGAGUUCACCAUUUGCACUUAGUCUUGAAUGGAGAAGAUUGCACAUGCUAUUGUACAACUGGGCAAUGGUGUGGAGCUCCAUAAGCGACGGCGGCGACUCCAGCUGUCCUUCUCGCCUAUGCAUCUCGACAAAGAAGCUUUAGAAACUAUAAUCUGUCUACUCCUUGUUCAGGAUCGGUAAUGAACAUAUCAUUACAUAAAUUAAUUUAACAAAACUGGAUUAUCUUUUUUGGUGAUGAAACUGUAGCAACAUUGGCACGGUUUUUGUCAAUACUACAAAAGCGGGGGAUAGUUGAUCGUUGGAAACACCAUUGACGCAGGCUUGACGCACAACUGGGUUAUAGAUCAAUCAUCUUCUCACUUCAGUAACACCAUGAUCUUGUACUUGCUUUUUGAAAAUCAUGGACGAACAACCGGUGAUCUGGUACCAAUUUUUGGCACAACCAUGAACUCCCAAAGUGAUUCACCAGAGUGCUUUAUGGUUUCUGACAGGUAUGCACAUAUAAGAUGGAUUUCUUCUGAACCGAUUGGAAGCAUAUGGCAACAUGGAGGUACACAAGCGCUAGCCUAAGCAUGCAGGUAAAUAUUAUAGACGCCUUGUUGAUGCAGGUGGAUGCAAUAUUCAUGACCGAGUGCAACGUCGGUGGAUCUGUAUCUUUGGGUUCAGAAUUUUGAAAGAAAGGGGAUAUGGGAAACAAUAAGAGGGGAGCUCUACCUCCAGCAGCACUUUCCUGGUCGUCGGUGUUGUGCUUCCAGCUACGCCCGCUGCGGACGAUGACGGGCAGCAGCAGCCGACGUCUUCUGGCGCGGCUGUGCACAACUUCCUGACAAGCACCGCGGAAUGGAUGCUCUGGAGGUCGCGUCCUCGAGUGCCUUGAGAUUUUCCUGCUACUGCUUGACGUACUUCAUGGUGUCUGAAAGGAUCAUCGCCUUGUCCAUCUGAGCGAAUUAGUUGGGCCAAUCAGUUAAGAAAUUUAUUUUGUUGGA